AUUGAACGCUGGCGGCAUGCUUUACACAUGCAAGUCGGACGGCAGCACAGAGAAGCUUGCUUCUUGGGUGGCGAGUGGCGAACGGGUGAGUAAUAUAUCGGAACGUACCGAGCAGUGGGGGAUAACUAAUCGAAAGAUUAGCUAAUACCGCAUAUUUUCUGAGGAAGAAAGCAGGGGACCAUUUGGCCUUGCGCUGUUUGAGCGGCCGAUAUCUGAUUAGCUAGUUGGUGGGGUAAAGGCCUACCAAGGCGACGAUCAGUAGCGGGUCUGAGAGGAUGAUCCGCCACACUGGGACUGAGACACGGCCCAGACUCCUACGGGAGGCAGCAGUGGGGAAUUUUGGACAAUGGGCGCAAGCCUGAUCCAGCCAUGCCGCGUGUCUGAAGAAGGCCUUCGGGUUGUAAAGGACUUUUGUCAGGGAAGAAAAGGAUAGGGUUAAUACCCCUGUCUGAUGACG
Molecule: ribosomal RNA, 457 nt
Filed under: Neisseria pharyngis
Lineage: Bacteria; Pseudomonadati; Pseudomonadota; Betaproteobacteria; Neisseriales; Neisseriaceae
Description: bacterial SSU rRNA
Rfam family: Bacterial small subunit ribosomal RNA
Source: RNAcentral